Molecule: transfer RNA, 82 nt
Organism: Penicillium oxalicum 114-2
Lineage: Eukaryota; Fungi; Ascomycota; Eurotiomycetes; Eurotiales; Aspergillaceae
Rfam family: tRNA
About the family: Transfer RNA (tRNA) molecules are approximately 80 nucleotides in length. Their secondary structure includes four short double-helical elements and three loops (D, anti-codon, and T loops).
Source: Rfam
GCAGCCGUGGCCUAGUCGUAAGGCGUCCGUCUCCUAUUACAGGUUCAACGGAAGAUCCCGGGUUCAAAUCCCGGCGGUUGUG